AUUGAACGCUGGCGGCAGGCCUAACACAUGCAAGUCGAGCGGAUGAAGGGAGCUUGCUCCUGGAUUCAGCGGCGGACGGGUGAGUAAUGCCUGGGAAUCUGCCUGGUAGUGGGGGAUAACGUCCGGAAACGGGCGCUAAUACCGCAUACGUCCUGAGGGAGAAAGUGGGGGAUCUUCGGACCUCACGCUAUCAGAUGAGCCUAGGUCGGAUUAGCUAGUUGGUGGGGUAAAGGCCUACCAAGGCGACGAUCCGUAACUGGUCUGAGAGGAUGAUCAGUCACACUGGAACUGAGACACGGUCCAGACUCCUACGGGAGGCAGCAGUGGGGAAUAUUGGACAAUGGGCGAAAGCCUGAUCCAGCCAUGCCGCGUGUGUGAAGAAGGUCCUCGGAUUGUAAAGCACUUUAAGUUGGGAGGAAGGGCAGUAAGUUAAUACCUUGCUGUUUUGACGUUACCAACAGAAUAAGCACCGGCUAACUUCGUG
This 484-nucleotide ribosomal RNA is filed under the name uncultured bacterium. RNAcentral's name for it is "partial 16S ribosomal RNA". It matches the Rfam family "Bacterial small subunit ribosomal RNA", at positions 30 to 507 of the family's 1533-position model. The record is from RNAcentral.